AUUGAACGCUGGCGGCAUGCCUUACACAUGCAAGUCGAACGGUAACAGGUCUUCGGAUGCUGACGAGUGGCGAACGGGUGAGUAAUACAUCGGAACGUGCCUAGUAGUGGGGGAUAACUACUCGAAAGAGUGGCUAAUACCGCAUGAGAUCUACGGAUGAAAGCAGGGGAUCGCAAGACCUUGUGCUACUAGAGCGGCCGAUGGCAGAUUAGGUAGUUGGUGGGAUAAAAGCUUACCAAGCCGACGAGCUGUAGCUGGUCUGAGAGGACGAUCAGCCACACUGGGACUGAGACAGGGCCCAGACUCCUACGGGAGGACGCAGUGGGGAAUUUUGGACAAUGGGCGAAAGCCUGAUCCAGCAAUGCCGCGUGCAGGAUGAAGGCCUUCGGGUUGUAAACUGCUUUUGUACGGAACGAAAAGCCCCGGGUUAAUACCCUGGGGUCCUGACGGUACCGUAAGAAUAAGCACCGGCUAACUACGUGCCAGCAGCCGCAGUAA
Molecule: ribosomal RNA, 498 nt
Filed under: uncultured bacterium
Lineage: Bacteria
Description: partial 16S ribosomal RNA
Rfam family: Bacterial small subunit ribosomal RNA
Source: RNAcentral